UACGGAGGAUGCGAGCGUUAUCCGGAUUUAUUGGGUUUAAAGGGUGCGUAGGCGGACUGUCAAGUCAGCGGUAAAAUUGAGAGGCUCAACCUCUUCCCGCCGUUGAAACUGGUGGUCUUGAGUGGAUGAGAAGUACGCGGAAUGCGUGGUGCAGCGGUGAAAUGCAUAGAUAUCACGCAGAACUCCGAUUGCGAAGGCAGCGUACCGGCAUCCAACUGACGCUGAGGCACGAAAGCGUGGGGAGCAAACAGG
RNAcentral lists this ribosomal RNA (252 nucleotides) under uncultured bacterium. RNAcentral's name for it is "partial 16S ribosomal RNA". It matches the Rfam family "Bacterial small subunit ribosomal RNA", at positions 524 to 776 of the family's 1533-position model. The record is from RNAcentral.